UCUCUAAUUGGGAAUUUCUCAUUACUUUCAUUUAUCUAUACAAAACUUAGCAGCUAGCUUAUGAGAUGGGUACCAAGACACCACUAUUAAUUCUUCUUCUAUGUGUAGUUUUCUUGUUCAUGUUUUUGGUAUUAUGUGAAGCUAUUAGCUCCAGGCACACACAAUUUCUCAAGGUGAAGCCUAAUAACCCUCCAAAUUCAUCCCCAGCUAGUUUUUCUGGGCUCUUACCCAAAGGAAUGCCGAGACCGCCGUCCAGUCCAUCAAAGAGGCACAAUUCCAUAGGCUUGAAAAGCUGGCUGCAGAAACUGCCAUGAAGAUUGAUCUAUACUAUACUAAUUCUUUCAGAAGAAGGAAGCUGGUACAUAUAUGACUACUAGCAGCAUCUGUUGGGUCAAGCGGAAGAAACUCGGUGCUCCUUAAGAAACUCGGUGAUCUUGAAAAGGAAAAAACAGUGAGGAUAUUAGUUAAAGGGUAUUUUUGGACAUGGUUCUAUAGGUGAGUAUUGAUAACAUUAUAACAAGAUUUUCAUAUUGCUAAAUUAUAUUGUAUGUAGUUGUAAAUACUACAUUCUUUUUCCUCUCAACUAAUUGUAGUAGUUAGCUUUUUAGACUGGAAAUUAUGGGAUGUAUUAAUUUUUAGGAUCGGGUUAGCAUGGAAUUUAUUUUUUAGUAAGUUGGUCAAUAGAAUGUUGACACACAUUGAGUCUUGCUUACGUGUCAGUACUCUAUUAGUUCCAAUUUACUCAAAAAUAAAUUUCAAACUAACCACUCCUUAGUUUCUAGUUUCAUAAUCAUUGUGUUUCAUAAAAGUAGAACCUUUUUACAAUAUUGUAAAUAUAUUAAAAUCUAUUUUUGUUUCAGAUUCAUAUGUAAAAAUAAGUAAUCUCUAAUUUUGUAAUGUGACAUGGUAAUAAAAUUAAGAUAAUUGGUUUGAACAAAAUAACUAUUUUGUAAAAUUAUUUAAAAUUAACAAAUGAAACCUUUUUUAAAAUAAAAAAACGGAUGAAGUAUAUAAACACAAAAUGUCAAAUAUGCUAUCCCAUCACAAUUCAAAUUAUAUAUACUCGAAAUAGAACUUGACUACUUAGUUUCUCUUAUUGCUACAUUUGUGAUCUUUAGUUUAAUUUAUAAUUUAGUAGUUGUAAACGAAUCAAUCCAGUUCUUCAGUGGACAAAAUUCAGCUGACCUCAUUGCUCAGUUUGAUUAAGCUCGUUUAAGUCGAGAUCAAACAAGGUUCAAAUUCAAAGGGA
This 1249-nucleotide long non-coding RNA is filed under the name Panax ginseng (ginseng). Its description in RNAcentral is "long non-coding RNA (PGIN_LNC019203)". Lineage: Eukaryota; Viridiplantae; Streptophyta; Magnoliopsida; Apiales; Araliaceae. The record is from RNAcentral.